This is a long non-coding RNA of Carassius gibelio (silver crucian carp), 525 nucleotides long. RefSeq lists it as uncharacterized. The transcript is spliced from 4 exons. Lineage: Eukaryota; Metazoa; Chordata; Actinopteri; Cypriniformes; Cyprinidae. The record is from RefSeq and is a predicted model, not a curated record.
ACCCAUUCUCACUCCAAAGGCGUCAAAAACCGAAGCAUGGUCAAGCGCCCCUAGCGUCACUUUUAUGGCGCCAAAUGUGCCUCUCGGCGUCGAAUAUCGAAGCACUACGACCUUCAUUGCUUUCAAUGGGAAACUUUUGGCGUCAGAAUUCGACACGAGGACAUUAGAUGUUUAUCGCUAUGAAAUCACGUUCAAGAAGUCUCAUUCAGCACACAUCGCGAUACUUGCUAUCAGUUCCACAGUUUGGCUGAAAAGACAUAAAGGCAGUCAGCCCAGUGGUGUUUCUGGAGAGGGAUUCCUUCAGAAAUGGAGAAGACAGAAAGCUGCGGAGGCAGAUAUAUGCAGCAGUCUAAAAUAUCAAGCUCAACAACUCACUCAAGAGCCAACCCUCACAAACCUUCCUAAAAACUAAAAGAGCUAUUACUGAGUCUCAGCGAAUCUUGCCAUGAUCAGCUCUUCCCAGAAGAGAAGGAAGACCAAGGAAAUGAUUUGCUCAGGAUGAGGAAUGAAGAUGGCCAUCUUGUG